AUGCCUAACACAUGCAAGUCGAACGAAGGCUUCGGCCUUAGUGGCGCACGGGUGCGUAACGCGUGGGAAUCUGCCCUCAGGUUCGGAAUAACAGCGAGAAAUUGCUGCUAAUACCGGAUGAUAUCGCGAGAUCAAAGAUUUAUCGCCUGAGGAUGAGCCCGCGUAGGAUUAGCUAGUUGGUGUGGUAAAGGCGCACCAAGGCGACGAUCCUUAGCUGGUCUGAGAGGAUGAUCAGCCACACUGGGACUGAGACACGGCCCAGACUCCUACGGGAGGCAGCAGUGGGGAAUAUUGGACAAUGGGCGAAAGCCUGAUCCAGCAAUGCCGCGUGAGUGAUGAAGGCCUUAGGGUUGUAAAGCUCUUUUACCCGGGAUGAUAAUGACAGUACCGGGAGAAUAAGCUCCGGCUAACUCCGUGCCAGCAGCCGCGGUAAUACGGAGGGAGCUAGCGUUAUUCGGAAUUACUGGGCGUAAAGCGCACGUAGGCGGCUUUGUAAGUUA
This 500-nucleotide ribosomal RNA is filed under the name uncultured bacterium. RNAcentral describes it as "bacterial SSU rRNA". It matches the Rfam family "Bacterial small subunit ribosomal RNA", at positions 44 to 590 of the family's 1533-position model. The record is from RNAcentral.